UAAUACAGUAGAAGCAAGAUAGGUGUGAGCUUCCUCUCAUCCCUGUGCUACUGCUUCCUCUUCAAAGUCUCAUUUAGAGCAUUUCAAAGCCUUUGAAGCCUUUUUGGUUCAACUGAAGCAUUGCUGAGUGAGUCCCUGAAACUCAUUUGCUAAAAAGCAUCAUAUAUUAGCAUACAUUUGACAGUAGAAGAAGGCAGUUUUGAGUCUAUGACAGGUAACAGUAGUGCUUGGUUUGGUUUGAUUUUUUAGAAUAUUUUGAAAAAUCACUGCAAAAACAUGAAGUGUGGCACAAUCAUUUUUCCCUUUACUUUGUACCUCCAGGCAAGUUUCAUCUAUAAAAUGAUAUUGUACUAUGCAUAGGAUACUGGGAAAGGCAUCUCUGUAUGCCAUUUAUGUUUUAUCCAAGAAAAUCCCUUCUGUGAUGGUUGGCCCUGGGGAUGAAAGAGACAGGAACAUGGAGCUUCAGACCCAAAUGUAUACAAGAAAGAGAAUUCGAAGUACCAUAGAUGGAUAUCAUCGAAAUGGACAAGAUGGUUUCUUUCCUUCUUCAACAAAAACAACUUUUUCUAUUAAAACCUGGAGAGUGACAAAGAGACUGGGGAAUCUAAGAGAUUAAGUGACUUGCCAAAGAUGCCAAAGGUGGAAUUUGAACUCAGGCUUUCCUGACUCAGAAUCCACAACUCUGUCCACAAUGCCAUACUGCUCCUCCAAUAAUAACAGAUGAAAGAACUGAGGAGGAGAGAUUCACAAAGCUGGUAAGUGUCUCUGGCAAGAUUUGAACUCAGGUCUUCCUGACUCCAAGUCCAGUACUCUAUAUAGCAUGUUUCCUAGUUGCUCUAGACAACAGUGAAUUACUAUAGCAUCUUGAGUGAAAAUGGGACAAGUUUAAGUGAUAUUUUCACAAUUAUAACCUAGAAUGGAAGAGGAGAAAGAGUCAAGGUAAGACACAUUUAGGAGGACGUUUCAGUAACUCAGGCAUGGCUCACAAGUUAUCAGGGAGUCGUUCAUUGUUCUCAUUCAGUAUGUAUCUAGGCAAUGCCUUUGACAGGGUACUUGACAAGUCAUCAUAGAAUCACCACUUGAAGACUUCCAGGGAAGGGGAAUGCACUACCUCCCCACAUAAUCCAUUUCAUGUUCAGGCAGCUUUAAGUGCUCAGAGGUUUUUCCUUUCAUCUGUUACUGCAAUCUUUACUCCUUUCUCUUAAGCAGAACAAAUCUAAUUCUUCCAAAUCUUUAAAUACUCAGACAGGUAUCACGUUCCCACCUAAGUCUUCACUCUUCUAGGAUAUACAUCCUUAGUUCCUUCAAUUGAGCCUCAAGUCCUUGCACAGUCCAGGUUCCCAGAUUGAAGUGAUGAGAAAUAAAAUUAGAGAGGCUGAAGUGGAAAAGAAGAAAUAGAUCUGAGAGACUGUGAAGGAAGAUUUGGUAGAAAUAGAUACCUCCCUGGAUAGAGGACAUGAACAACAAAAAAGUCAAAGAUAUUCAAAGUUUCAAAUAGAGGAGGCAAAGAAAAUAGUGAUGUGAGGAACAGAAAAGGUAAAAAGUAAAGCUACAAAGAAAGAAAGGUUUUAUAUCAUUUUAAGUUGCCCCUAUUUUUUUUUUUGUAAAAACCCUUACCUUCAGUCUCAGAAUUGAUACUAAAUAUCAGUUCUAAGGCAGAAGAACCAUAAGGGCUAGGCAACUGGGAUUAAGGGACUUGUCUAGGGUCACAGAGCUAAGAAGUGUCUGAGUCUAGAUUUGAAGCCAGGAUCAUUUAGCCAUGAUAUCUUUGUGAACAAAACAAACAAGUGUGGGCUGAAUGACAACACCUUAUGAUCGUUUUGGAACUGGUUGCAUGACUAGAUACAAACAAUUGGGAUUGAUGAAUUGAUAUCAGCUUGAUCAAAGGUGGACUCCGGAGCUCUGUCCUUAACUUUAUUCGGAGCAUUUUUAUAAAGAACUAGGAGGAAGGCAUACAUAGCACACUUAUCAAGUUUCCAUAGGACAAACAACUAGGAGGGAUAGUUAAUACAUUGGAUGAUAGGUGUCAGGAUCCAAACGCUUUUCAACAGACUAGAAUAAUGGCUCAAAUCUAAUUAUAUGAAAUUUUAUAAGAAUAAAUGUAAAGUUCUAUACUAAGACUAAAACAUCACCUUGAGAAGACUGGACAUGGAACAAAGCUGAAUUCAUAAAAGCAAUGCUUCCAUGGCAGGAUAAAUUAUAGUAGCUAGAGUCCUCUACCAUGAUCACGCAUCAAAAAUAUGACUUUCAGUUCUGCAUUUCACACCUUAGAUAUGGAGAAGCUGUACUGCAGCCAGAGGAAUAUGAUUGAGCUGGGGGAAGAGGUAGAAAACUGUUCCAAAACAGCUAGAAAAAACUAGGGUCGCUUCUCACCUAAUCUUCCCAAUUGGCAAGUGAGGAAAUCUAUUCACUAAGAGUUUAAGAGAUUUACCAAAGGCCACACAGAAUGGUAAAACCAGAGUCAGAAACCACAUUUUUUUAAUCCUUCCCUUCCCUCUUGGAAUUGAUACUACAGUUUCAAGGAGAAGUAUGGUAAGGGUUAGACAAUUGGAGGUAAGUGAUUUGCCCAGGGUCACACAGCUAAGAAGCAACUGAGGCUAGAUUUUGAACUCAGGUCCUCUACUGAGCUUAAUAGUUGCCCCUAACCCACAUCUUCUACUACCAAGUCUUUCCACACAAAACAAAUUUAUUCUGAGACUAAAAGAAAAGCCUUGAUUCCCAGACCAUCUAGGUUCGUUCUAAAUGAAAAUAAAUUUUCAGCAGAAAGAUGGUCCAAAAAGAAUGUCGUGUGAGUUGUACUCCUAAAACUGUAAGAAAAUCUCUGAGCAGGGGGCAGCUGGGUGGCUCAGUGGAUUGAGAGUUAGGCCCAAAGAGGGGAGGUCCUAGGUUCAAAUCUGGCCUUGGACACUUCCUAGCUGUGUGACUCUGGGCAAGUCACUUGACCCCCAUUGCCUAGCCCUUACCACUCUUCUGCCUUGGAGCCAAUACACAGUCUUGACUCCAAGAUGGAAGGUAAGGGUCUAAGAAAAGAGAAAGAAAAAAAAAAAGAAAAUCUCUGAGCUUUAGUAAAUAUUUCUCAUUAUAAAAAUAAAAAAGAGAUCAAUGAAUUAGUUGUAUUCAAUGAACCAACUAAAGCAGAGAACAAACCCUGAGAGUGGUCUAGUCUUUAGGCAGAUUGAACCAAAAGGAAUUAAUUAUCUAAUCUCUUAUUUUUACAUCAGGGAAAUGAGGGAAAGAGGAGAAAGAAGAAAUUCUUAGUGAAUUUCUCCCAGAAAUACCAGACUGACCUAACUGAUGACUUGAAAAUCAGGUCCAGGGAGGCCCUUUGCUGUGAAUAGCCAUUAAUGUUCCAUGCCCAGCAUGCUUCCUAGUUGUUGCCCGGAAUAAAUACAUAGCCUCAAGAUUUAGCCUGACUGUUCCUCCAAGGAAUCCUGACCCUAAGACUGGCCGUGAUUGAGUGGAACAGCAGGGCCACAUUGCUGCCAUGUGUCAAAGGGAAAAUGUCUGGGGCAAUUAAGCACAUCUUCACAGCAAUCUAAACCAUGCCUUAAAAUCCAGAGCAGUCCCACCCCUUGCCUAACCAUGGCAUAGAGAAGGUUCAAGAAUUUCCCUUUCAGCUCCAUCCUAUGACUCUUAAAGCCUAAUGAAACAGGUGCACAAGGGGAAACCCCCAAAGUAUCAUCACCCUGCAAAAGGCCCGUGACCCCAAUUAAAUUAUAAUAGGGAGCCCAACUGCAUCUUUUAGCUAAGGUGGCCACUCAUCCAGCUUUGACCCAAAUGUCUCAGGCAUUCAGGUCUCUGGGCAACUGAGUAACCUUGUGAAAGCCAAGAAUGUGGUGACAGCAGCCACCCCCUCCCAGUCCACUAUUAUCACAUGCCACGAUCGCAUUCCCAGAUGCCCCGUACUUAGCUGGGGACACAAUCUAGGAUAAUAUUCACUGCUGCCUUCUUGUUUCUCAGACGGUAUUCCUCAGCUUUCUAAUUUGUCCAGAAGCACCUCCAGAUAAGCCAGGGUCAAAAGAACAGGACUUGAAAAUGUGACCCUCCCUUCAGCAAGCUUUUAGUAUCUUCUUGUUUUGGACCCAGCCUGCCAAAUCAAGACAGACCACCACCAAAACAAGCUGCCCUGUUUCUCUAGAGGAACCCAAUGCCUGGCAUUUGUACUUUUUGAAAAGUAAAGAAUUUUGAGUUUUGACAAUUUAAGUGACAAUUUCUAUGAAUACCGAUGGAAAGAAAAUUGUAUUGUAAAGAUUAAAAUUUAGGGAAUAUGGGGAGACUGAGGCAUCUGAGGCAGGUAGAAAUUAGUUUCUCUCUGCAAGAAGUAUUAUAUUUUUUAGAGGUUUAUUAAAGGUUAAAGAUUAAAGAAUAUACAAGUAAGAAACAUGUGCCUAGGCCAGAGGCCUAGACAAAAUAACCUCACAUCACGCAAGAGACCACCUGCUCCAAAACGGAAGUCCAAAAAGAGCCAAGAGAGCCCCCUCAAAAGCCUUUCAAUCAGCUUAAAUACCUUCUCCAUCUCGGCCCAGGUGAGAUUACAAGGCAUUCUGGGGAAGUGGAGCAAAGGCUCAUGGGGAUUGUAGUCCUGUAUUCCAGUCUAUUUUUUACAGUAUGAACACGGCUAAAACAGUUAGGUGGCAUAAUAGAUGGAACACGAAUAUGGAGUCAGGAAGACCUGAAUUCAAAUCCAGACUCAGAUACUUAAAGCUAGGCAACCUUGAAUGAAUCCUUUCAUAUCUGUUUGCUUCGGUUUCAAAUUAUAAAGUGCUUAGCACAGUGUCUGUCAUAUAGGAGAUUUAGAUAAAUAUUAGUUAUUAUUGUUCAUCUAGAAACACCACCUGUCUGCUUGACAUAUCCAUUUGGUAGUCUCACAGGCAUCAAAAUUAGUACUUAUGGUUUGCCCCCAAAAUACCACCAUUCUUCCUAAAUGGCCUAUUUCUGUGGAGAGGACCUCCAUCUUUCCAGACACCCAGGUUGACAACUUAGAAGUCAUUUUUAAUUUCUAACUCUCUUUCCCACUUUCUAGAUUCCCCAUAUACAAUCAGUUGCCAAGUCUUGUCGAUCAGACAUUUCCGUAUCAUCUACAUUUGUUCCUUUCUCCCUACUCACUUGGCUACUUCCUUAGUUUAGACCCUCAUCACCAACCCCCUCAGACUACAGGAGAAGCUGCCUAAUUGUUCUCUCUUUUCCUCUAAACUAUCCCUCUUCCAACCCACUGAGUUCCCUAACAGAUACAACUAAAACACAGAUCUGAUCAAAACACUUCCCUGUUCAAAGGCUUCAGUGGCUCCCUAGACCCUCUAAGAUAAUAUGUGAACUCCCUUGUUCUACUUUUAAAGCCUGUCACAGUCUGGCUCCAGGCUAUCUUUUGGGGUAGAUCAUCUAUUAUUUCCUCCCUAGAAUGUUCUCUCCCCUCACCUUUAACUCUCAAAUACCUUAAUCCCAUUUAAGGCUGAGGCUUACUACAUGAGGGUUUUUGCAAGAGUGUACUAGAACCAGCUUACAGAGUCAGCUCUUGAAAGCUGAUUGUUAAAUUUUCACUGUGAACAUUUAUACCUCAGAAAUUAGC
Non-coding RNA from Monodelphis domestica (gray short-tailed opossum), 5566 nucleotides. Lineage: Eukaryota; Metazoa; Chordata; Mammalia; Didelphimorphia; Didelphidae. The record is from RefSeq and is a predicted model, not a curated record.